Callithrix jacchus (white-tufted-ear marmoset) is the source of this 2017-nucleotide long non-coding RNA. RefSeq lists it as uncharacterized. Lineage: Eukaryota; Metazoa; Chordata; Mammalia; Primates; Cebidae. The record is from RefSeq and is a predicted model, not a curated record.
AUAAUGUAAUAAUUUAUUAGGCUUCUGCUGUAUGCAUAAAAGGUUUCAUUUUAUCCAUACAACAUUUAUUAUUCUUAUUUUUCAAUGAGGAACCAGACUUAGGAAGUUUCAUAACUUGCCUGAAGUCACAGAGGUAAAGGGGCAGCAUAAAGAUUCCGCUGCCAAUUUGUCAAAUUCCAAAGCUCUUUUAUGGCACCACCUCUCCUUCCAAGCAUGCGAGAGCAGGGAGGGAAUUAUGUGUCAGUUGGAUGAGAAUGGCUUGGUAGAACUUGGAGGUGAGCAUCUCAUGAACAGGGCUUCUUGGGACCUGUGAUUCUGUCUUACAUGAGUCACACCAAAUUAUUAGAAAUCAAAGCAUCAAUUGAGGAAAACCAUACCAGUCCCCAGAAAGCUAAUUGAGCCCCGUAGCCUCAGAGCAAGUCUAGUCACUGCUCUUGAAACACGCAAUUUAGCCAUUCCUCCUUCCUCUCUACGGCUGAUAUCAAACACAUGAAACAUCAUAUGUAAUUAGAGGCCAUGAGCGUUUGUGUCACUUUGCACAAUUAAAACUAUGUUCUGCUAUUCCUGGGAAACAUAUUUUUAGUUUAAGCUGGGCUGUAAUGAGAUCUCUAAAAAUAACACCGUGAAAGGUGAGGCUAAGUGUAGGGAUUGAGUUCACCCCAGUGCCAAGGCUAUAAAACAUUAUUCAUGGUCCAUUUAAAGCUCUUGAGCCCUGGGCCAACUUUUUUGCUUGGACAGACGUUUCGUUCAUCCUAUUUGGACCCAACUCACUUUCCAACUAAAUGGCAGUGGUCUGAGUGAGAGGGACUUAGACUAGGCCAUUAGAGGAAUUUUACAGCUGCUGAGGCAGCUCAGGGCACUUUCUCUCUGAGGGGCUCUGGUUACACUCGCCAAGGGGCUUGGAUAUCGAGUGUUGAGACCACCCCACGGCUCGCCAGCUUGCUGCCUUCCGGCAUGAUGGCUCUUCUCAGAAUCAAGCUCCCUAGGUUUUGGCAAGCCCUAUUGCUACAGAAAUAACGAAUGAUCUCCUGGCUUGGCAGUGGGAGGGUUCAGGCAUGCCUGUAACCUCAGACACCGAAUACGGCACCCAAUAGCGUGCGAAAAUGGUGAUACAAGGCUCGUAACAGAUGGGAGAAACUUCAAGAUUUCAACAAUUUGGGGCUUUAGAGGGGAUAUAGUUUUCCUGGACAGAACAGUGCUGUGUUACGUGCACCACCCACAGUAGUUUAAACACGAAAACUCUCACAGCACGUGGAACACAUCUGCGUGUGUGCCCAUUGCCAGCUCUGCUGCUCCUUUACUUAAGGUAGACCUGACAUCAGCAGCAGAUGGUCAUUAUCAGGUUUCUUAUCUCAUCCUUGUUGCCCCGAAACAUAAUUUCUCCCAUCCUUCAGGCUGUGCUAAUGAGGUUGAUGUUACAGGCUGGACUUUGUGGAUAAUCUGGUGGACUUCACUGUCUUUCCUGGUCAUAAAUGCUGUUUUCGUGCUUGUUCUUCUGUUUCAUCUGUUUAUUGACAUUCAGCCUCCACCAAACACAGGUUUCAGGGACAUGGAUGAAUCUGGAGAACGUCAUCCUCAGCAAACUGACACAAGAACAGAAAAUGAAACACCGCAUAUUCUCACUCAUAGGUAAGCUCUGACUUCUUGACCAAUUGGUUGUGGUGCAAGUGACACCGUGCUGCGUACAGAGAACGGAAGCUUCCACUUCCAGCCUCUUGUCACUUGUGAGGGGAGCCAGCUCCAUGAACAACUUCCCUGACCCUGCCAUCCUGGAAAGACCAGGUGCAGGUGCUCUAACUAGCAAUCCCAGCUGAGCUCAGCCUCCUGACCACCCCUGCCAAGGUGUCAGACCUAUGAAUGAUGUUGCCUUCCACUCUGCAGAACAGCCCAUCUGCCAGCUGAGGACUUCCCGUAUGUACUUCAUGCCUUGAAGAACAGAGGAACUGCCCAGUUGAGCCCUGUGUGAAUUCCCGACCCAAACGAUUGUGAGGGAUAAUAAAACAUUUGUUGGAUUAAA